Molecule: ribosomal RNA, 401 nt
Filed under: uncultured bacterium
Lineage: Bacteria
Description: bacterial SSU rRNA
Rfam family: Bacterial small subunit ribosomal RNA
Source: RNAcentral
UGGGGAAUAUUGGACAAUGGGCGCAAGCCUGAUCCAGCCAUGCCGCGUGAGUGAUGAAGGCCUUAGGGUUGUAAAGCUCUUUUGGCGGGGACGCUAAUGACGGUACCCGCAGAAUAAGUCCCGGCUAACUUCGUGCCAGCAGCCGCGGUAAUACGAAGGGGACUAGCGUUGUUCGGAAUCACUGGGCGUAAAGCGCACGUAGGCGGAUCGAUCAGUCAGGGGUGAAAUCCCAGGGCUCAACCCUGGAACUGCCUUUGAUACUGUCGAUCUGGAGUAUGGAAGAGGUGAGUGGAAUUCCGAGUGUAGAGGUGAAAUUCGUAGAUAUUCGGAGGAACACCAGUGGCGAAGGCGGCUCACUGGUCCAUUACUGACGCUGAGGUGCGUAAGCGUGGGGAGCAAAC